Long non-coding RNA from Hemicordylus capensis (graceful crag lizard), 3571 nucleotides. RefSeq lists it as uncharacterized. The record is from RefSeq and is a predicted model, not a curated record. The transcript has 3 exons. NCBI's taxonomy places the organism in Eukaryota, Metazoa, Chordata, Lepidosauria, Squamata, Cordylidae.
AAGGCAUCUGAAAAACAAAAUGGUGGCCGAAGACACUGAGUGCAAUUCUCCUCUGUGGAAGAACCUAUGGUGAGCUGGUCUUGUGGUAGCAAGCAUGACUUGUCCCCUUAGCUAAGCAGGGUCUGCCCUGGUUGCAUAUGAAAGGGAGACUAGAAGUGUGAGCACUGUCAGAUCUUCCCCUCAAGGGAUGGAGCCACUCUGGGAAAAGCAGAAGGUUCCAAGUUCCCUCCCUGGCUUCUCCAAGAUAGGGCUGAGAGAGAUUCCUGCCUGCAACCUUGGAGAAGCCGCUGCCAGUCUGUGAAGACAAUACUGAGCUAGAUAGAUCAGUGGUCUGACUCAGUAUAUGGCAGCUUCCUAUGUUCCUAUGGUGCCCGACAGAAACCCGACACCACUGAGGCGAUAAUGACCCUCUUAUACGCAGGGUGGAUUGAUUAAAUCAAGGCGAUUUAAAUUAUUGAUUUAACUCACGGAGAGAAAACCACAAUUAAAGCCACUGAUUUAAAUCAAGUUUCCUACGGUUACCUCAUACAUUUCUUAAACAAUGGUGCAAAUCUGACCACGAAAACUUGUUAAUUCACAACGCAAUAGAGUGUUUACAGCAUCUAGGAGGAAGUACUUGGUGUGAUUUCUUUUAGAUAAUUUGAUUUUUAUUAGUUUAGCGAACAGUACAUAAUACCUGGUUUUUAAUGUAAUGGAUACCUUUCACAUUACGCGUGUCAAGCUGCUCUGUAUCUUCUUGUUGAACUGUUUACACCAGACACACUUUCCUUUUUACCCAAGGAAGGCACUUCUUCAUAAUUUGGCCACAUAGGGUGGUUCCUACACCCAGAAGCUAGGGCAGUUUUUCAGUGGCAACAUGUGGAGAAAUACAGGAAGCUGUGUACUGCAUAAUGCCUUCCCUUCCUGCCUCCAUUUUUCUACUUUACCUCCUUUCCUAUAUGGCGUCUCUGUCUUAACUCUGCCUUGGCCAAGACCCACCGCAAAACAAACACCCUAUUAAUCAGCCUGUGUCUUUGCACAUGAAAAACAGCUUAGAAACACAAAUGGAGAGCCCAGAGGUUUCCCAAAGCAAGAGCUGGUAGUUGCUGGGCGCUGCUGAGCAGGCUAGAACUAUUUUCAUGAGAUGAAACUGAAAUUAACACCCAUUUUUGGCUGGUAUGUAACUCACUGAGGCUGUCCACACAAGUGAAAACUGGGUAGGACAAAUGUCCUACCCAGGUUUGCGAGCUGUGUGCGUUCCCAAUUUUUGCUUGUGUGGGAGCAAACAAAUAGGUAGGAGGAGGGAGAAGUGACUUGAGAGUGAUUCCUGAGGUGGCUUGUUUGGAAGCAGCCCUUGAGAAGAUAAGGCUCAGGCCAGGAGAAGUAGCAAACCUUUGUUUUCUUUCUUAAAGAAGCAAGCAAGAAGCAAAUAAAUAAAUAAAUCACCAAUAGGAAAACAAGGAGCAAAGGACAAGGUAUAUUUGUUAGGGAUAGUCUUUUCUAGGAUUUGAUAUCUGGCUGGCUAGGGGGGUUGUUUUUAUUUUAUUUCUUUAUUUUAUUUAUUUAUUCGAUUUUUUUGACAGGGCAGUUUCAGUUCCAGUUGUGCCUAGAGAGACAUUGGGCGGGGAUUCACUGCAGAUUAAGGGAGGGGCCACAUUCCUGAGGUGGCUCAGUUUGGAAGCAGCUCUUGAGAAGACAAAGCUCAGAUCAGGGGAGCUUUGCGAACAGGAGUUUGCAACAGAUAUCAAAGGAUUAUGUGUGGAGUUUAGCAGGGAUCUGUGCAUAAAGGCACACAAGCAUCCCUCCUUAUAAAAAAGGAGACACCCAGCAUGAAAAGGUGAGCACUACCCCACUUUUGCAAUUUUCUUGGAGGACAGAGCUUGAAACCUUUACUUAGCUGACAACUGCAGCUAAAACCUAGAUUUCAAAUAAACAACCUCUAUAUAAUCUAAAUAGCCAAUAAAACCAAAAGGUAGUCUAAAACUAAAGGUAGAAUGCCAGCAGGGGAGGGGGUGCUUCCCAGUGUAUUGCACAGAGUUUUGCAUAUAUGACGACCUGCCUAAGGGGCAGAGGUCAUGGGUGUAUGCCCUCAAUGCAAAGAGCUCCUGGCUCUCAGGGAACAUGUUCGGCAAUUCUUCCAACAUGAGAAUUUGAAAUGUGGUGUUUUAUUUACAUUUCUUUUUUAAAAAAUCUGAUUUAAAUCUAGUUUAAAUUUUUGAAAUUGGAUUGAAAAUAAACAAAUAUCAUUGAUUUGUAUCCAUCCUGCUUAGAUGGAACUACAUGGAUGCAAAAAGGCCUGAGAAGGAAACAUGAAAACAGCCUCACAUCUCUCAGGCUCAGUCACCUGUUUCAAACAGAGGCCACUUCCAAGGCAUCCGAUUUGUGCAUUCCUUCACUACAGCAAGGAUUGGCUAGAAUGAUUUAAUUCUUUCUUUGCUCCCUGGAACCAUUCAACUUUUACAGCCUGCCUCUCUCGGUUGCUCACAGAUGCCUUUUUGUCUCCCACAGCACCAGGCCUGGAGUGUGAAUCCUAGCAGUUCUCUCUGGGCACAGCUCCCAGAAACGCCACCACCCAGGACAGGGGGCUGACUUCAGCUGCGGCUCGAUUCCAACAGCAGGCAACACAUUUCCCAGCCUCAGGCUAUGGCCCCCAGUCAAGCAAGCAAGGCUCAGUGGAAGAGCACCUGCUUUGCAUGCAAAAGCUUCCAGGUUCAAUCCCUGGCAGCAUCUCCAGGUUUGUAACACUCAAAAAUCAGAUCAAUAAUUCAAAAACAACAUCACACCCAAGAGAAGUGGAAGAUCUUUCUCAGAUUCAAAUUUACUGUGAUACAAAUUUACCAUCCAUGGGAACUUUUGUGCAAGGGUGCAACUUCUGGAUUUUGCACAGCUGUGCAAUUUUCUUCUGCAUGUGCAACUUUGUUUCUCGCACAAGCGCUUUGGGCCUUGGAAAUACUGUUUUGUUUUGAAACGGCUAAGGACAACCCGCUGCUGUGCUCCUAGCCAAGGUGAGCCUCUGUCUUGUCCUUUUCCCCCUGAAAGAGGACACAGUGCAUCAGCUCAGGCUGGGAGGAUUUGGUAGAGGAAUUGCGGACUCUAAUCUCUGCUGGGACGCCAACGCUGACUUGCUGAAUUGAGCAGCACUCUCAUGACAGGACUGAGCAGGGUCAUCGAUCUGACUGACUUCUAUGUUAAGGAAGACCCAACCAGAAAAGGGGAGUGGGAGGAAAGAGAAACAGCAAAGAGAAACACGUGCUGCUUCUUAUAAUAAUUUCCAAAGGGACAAAUGCCCAUUCAAAACAACAACAACAAAAACGGACCAGCUCUGAGUCCCCUCAUAUGGGAGAAGCAAAACCAUGAGGAUGCUACACAUUUUUGCACCGGAACAAUCCAGAUUCUGUGCCUUCCAAGGCUUGUAAAGUGGUGUGUGUGUGUGUGUGUGUGUGUGUGUGUAUAUAUUUGGUUUUAAUAGUUUUUGAAUUGUUUUUAUAUUUUUAACACUGUGUUUUGAAUUGUCAGUUUUUAUGUCUUUUUAAAAGUUGUUGUACACCACCCAGAGCCUCUGGAUGGGGCGGUUUAUAAAUAUAAUAAAUAA